AAGCGUGCGCAGGCGGUUUUGUAAGACUGUCGUGAAAUCCCCGGGCUCAACCUGGGAAUGGCGAUGGUGACUGCAAGGCUAGAGUUUGGCAGAGGGGGGUAGAAUUCCACGUGUAGCAGUGAAAUGCGUAGAUAUGUGGAGGAACACCGAUAGGCGAAGGCAGCCCCCUGGGUCAAAACUGACGCUCAUGCACGAAAGCGUGGGGAGCAAACAGGAUUAGAUACCCCAGU
This 230-nucleotide ribosomal RNA is filed under the name uncultured bacterium. RNAcentral describes it as "partial 16S ribosomal RNA". It matches the Rfam family "Bacterial small subunit ribosomal RNA", at positions 563 to 791 of the family's 1533-position model. The record is from RNAcentral.